AAAAAAAUCACUGUGUCACGGUAGUGUUUGUGUGUGUGUGUGUGUGUAUGUAUAUAUAUAUAUAUAUAUAUAUACACAUACAUACAUACCCACACACAAACACUACCGUGGCACAAUGACUUAAAA
Molecule: microRNA precursor, 126 nt
Filed under: Pelobates cultripes (western spadefoot toad)
Lineage: Eukaryota; Metazoa; Chordata; Amphibia; Anura; Pelobatidae
Source: RNAcentral